This 1230-nucleotide long non-coding RNA is filed under the name Pan troglodytes (chimpanzee). RNAcentral's name for it is "long non-coding RNA NONPTRT016570". The record is from RNAcentral. Lineage: Eukaryota; Metazoa; Chordata; Mammalia; Primates; Hominidae.
CCAGGCUGGAGUGCAGUGGCAUGAUCUCCGCUCACUGCAAGCUCCACCUCCUGGGUUCACGCCAUUUUCCUGCCUCAGCCUCUCCCAGUAGCUAGGAUUGCAGGUGCAUGCCACCACGCCCGGCUAAUUUUUUGUAUUUUUAGUAGAGACAGGGUUUCACCGUUGUCUCAAUCUCCUGACCUCGUGAUCUGCCUGCCUCAGCCUCCCAAAGUGCUGUGAUUACAAGCGUGAGCCACCACGCCCCACCGCCACUGUACCUUUCCAUGUCCUCUUCAUCUCUGGCAUCGGGGACUCCCCUUUCUUGAUUUGAAGAAAUGGUUUUCAAUCUUGGCUUAUAUUUACAUUCAACUGGGGACAUUUUUUAAAAUCCCAAGACACAACCCAGACCAAUUACAUUCAAACCUCUGGCAUAAAAAGUGAGGUUUUAAAAAUAUAUUAUACAAAUAAUCGUACAAUAGGUACCUAGAUAUGUAAAAGCUCAUAAAGGUAUAACUUGAGUUAUCAAAAUAUCGUGAGCCCUGCUCUAGUACUGCUGCCUGUGUUAGGUGCUUCUGGACUCUGGUUCUAACAGUGGGAGGUUGUGUUUGUGAUCAUUUCUAGGCACAACUUUAAUCUGGAAAUAAAAUAGUCAUUUUGGCUUUCUCUUUCAGCCUCCUACGUGAGAGUUUCCCAAUUCUAAGAACAUUCUGAUGUUCUAUGCCACAUCUUGCAAUUGGGUAUGAACAAUUUUUCAAUAAUAGCAAAUAAAUGAGUCUUCUCAGUGUAUCUUCAUCUUGUCACCACUGCUGAAGAGCGUGAUUCUCCUCUAGCCUAGACAUGAGCUUCGACUGCUGUUCAGUUACUCCAGUAAACUCCAGGAUACUUAUUAAUGAUGGUAACAGCAGCCAACAAGUAUUAAGAACUUUUGCUAUUAAACUUCCCUGCUACCAUUGGGACCAAGAAUCUGGACAACAAAUUUUCUAUUUUUAUUUUUUAUUUUCCUUCCAUAAAUGCUGUUCAACAUAAACGGGCUGGGUUGAAUUGAAUCGGGCAGAGUUGACAGAACACAGGACCAGGAAGCAGGUCACCCAAGCUGCUGGCCCUGCCAUGGCUCCUGGUGGACGUGAGGGAGGUGAGUUUCCUCUCUAUGCUCCAGGUGGAGUUACCUUAUAUGGUCUUAAGAUCUGUCUAUUAAGAAGAGCACUUAGUGCAUUUACAUUUAAUGUCAUUACUGACAUAUUUGAGUUAAAU